GGACGACGUCAAGUCCUCAUGGCCCUUACGCCCAGGGCUACAAACGUGCCACAAUGGCCGGUACAGAGGGACGCGACUCCGCGAGGACAAGCAAAUCCCAAAAAGCCGGUCUCAGUUCGGAUUGAAGGCUGCAACUCGCCUUCAUGAAGCUGGAAUCGCUAGUAAUCGCGCAUCAGCUACGGCGCGGUGAAUAUGUUCCUGAGCCUUGUACACACCGCCCGUCAAGUCAUGGAAGCUGGUAGUACCCGAAGUCCGUUGGUUAACUUCGUGAGACGGCGGCCGACGGUAAGACCGGUGACUGGGACUAAGUCGUAACAAGGUAGCCGUAGGAGAAC
Molecule: ribosomal RNA, 335 nt
Filed under: Symbiodinium sp. clade D
Lineage: Eukaryota; Dinophyceae; Suessiales; Symbiodiniaceae
Description: partial Bacterial small subunit ribosomal RNA
Rfam family: Bacterial small subunit ribosomal RNA
Source: RNAcentral